GGGCCGUUAGCUCAGCGGUAGAGCGAUCCCUUUACACGGGAAAGGUCGGGGGUUCGAUCCCCUCACGGCCCA
Molecule: transfer RNA, 72 nt
Filed under: Elusimicrobiota bacterium
Lineage: Bacteria; Pseudomonadati; Elusimicrobiota
Description: Elusimicrobia bacterium tRNA-Val
Rfam family: tRNA
About the family: Transfer RNA (tRNA) molecules are approximately 80 nucleotides in length. Their secondary structure includes four short double-helical elements and three loops (D, anti-codon, and T loops). Further hydrogen bonds mediate the characteristic L-shaped molecular structure. tRNAs have two regions of fundamental functional importance: the anti-codon, which is responsible for specific mRNA codon recognition, and the 3' end, to which the tRNAs corresponding amino acid is attached (by aminoacyl-tRNA synthetases). tRNAs cope with the degeneracy of the genetic code in two manners: having more than one tRNA (with a specific anti-codon) for a particular amino acid; and 'wobble' base-pairing, i.e. permitting non-standard base-pairing at the 3rd anti-codon position.
Source: RNAcentral